UGAGCCUGUGCUCACACACUUAUCACGUAUAGACACAAUAACAAUACACGGAGUUAAAAAUUUAAAAAAGCAGCCAGGCAUGGUGGUGCACGCCUUUAAUCCCAGCACUUGAGAGGCAGAGGCAGGCAUAUCUCUGAAUUCGAGGCCAGCCUGGUCUACAGAGUGAGUUCCAGGACAGCCAGGGCAAUAUAGAGAAACCCUGUCUCGAAAAACCAAAAAAAAAAAAAAGCUAAAGAAUUCAAAGCUUAUAGAAAGGUUAGAGCUUUCUGAGAUGCAUGAGACCCAAUUUCAAAACAAAACAGAACAAAACAAAACAAAAAAAAGAAUGAAACCCUCAAAAAGCAAGAAAUCAAAGGCUGGCAAGGUGGCUCAGCAAUGUUUUACAGUUAUGAAGACGGGAGUUUAGAGCCCAGCAUCGGUGUAACAAGCUGGGUGUCUUUCACAUGGCUACAAACCCAUCUCUGAAGUGUGUGUGUUCAUAUGCAUGUGUGUGCAUGCGUGUGCAUGUGUGUGUGUAUAAGAAUCACCGAAUCACCUGGCCUUGCUGGCUUUUAGCAUAGCAGAACAAAUUUAAGACCCAAUUCUUAGAAAGACCCUGCCUCAAGGGAACAAAUGGAGAGAAAUAGAGGAGGUCACCCAGUGACCUCUUCUAGCCAACUACCAUGUGCACACACACAAACACACACCAACUAAUUGACUGACUAACUAACUAAUUGGGGGUUUGGAUAGGAAUGGUCACCAUAGACUCAUGUGUUUGAAGGCUAGAUCCAGAGGGAAUGACACUAUUAAGAAGUGUGGCCUUGUUGGAGGAAGUACGUCAUUGUGGGGAUCAGGCUUUAAAGUCUUAUAUGCUCAAGCUAUGCCCAGUGUGGCUCACAGUCUCCUGCUGCCUGCAGAUCGAGAACUCUCAGCUCCUUCUCCAGCACCACGUCUGCCUGAAUACCACCAUGUUUCCCAUCAUGAUGAUAACGGACUGAAUCCCUGAAACUAUAAGCCAGCCCCAAUUAAACGUUUUCCUUUAU
RNAcentral lists this long non-coding RNA (1022 nucleotides) under Mus musculus (house mouse). RNAcentral describes it as "long non-coding RNA chr11:46482300-46483322". The record is from RNAcentral. Lineage: Eukaryota; Metazoa; Chordata; Mammalia; Rodentia; Muridae.